This 253-nucleotide ribosomal RNA is filed under the name uncultured bacterium. RNAcentral's name for it is "partial 16S ribosomal RNA". It matches the Rfam family "Bacterial small subunit ribosomal RNA", at positions 524 to 776 of the family's 1533-position model. The record is from RNAcentral.
UACAGAGGUCUCAAGCGUUGUUCGGAUUCAUUGGGCGUAAAGGGUGCGCAGGCGGCUUCGCAAGUCAGGCGUGAAAUCCCCGAGCUUAACUUGGGAAUUGCGUUUGAAACUACGAGGCUGGAGUGUGGCAGAGGGAGGUGGAAUUCCACGUGUAGCGGUGAAAUGCGUAGAUAUGUGGAGGAACACCGAUGGCGAAGGCAGCCUCCUGGGCCAACACUGACGCUCAUGCACGAAAGCGUGGGGAGCAAACAGG